Molecule: ribosomal RNA, 406 nt
Filed under: uncultured bacterium
Lineage: Bacteria
Description: partial 16S ribosomal RNA
Rfam family: Bacterial small subunit ribosomal RNA
Source: RNAcentral
AUUGAACGCUGGCGGCAGGCCUAACACAUGCAAGUCGAACGAAUAGCGGACUGGUGAGUGAUUGCUGAGAACCUGCCUGAUGGAGGGGGAUAACUACUGGAACCGGUAGCUAAUGCCGCAUACCAUCCUAUGGGCCCACAUGGGAUUAGCUAGUUGGUGGGGUAACGGCUCACAAAGGCGUCGAUCCCUAGCGGGUCUGAGAGGGUGACCAGCCACAAUGGAACUGAGACACGGUCCAGACUCCUACGGGAGGCAGCAGUGGGGAAUAGUGCACAAUGGGCGCAAGCCUGAUGCAGCCAUGCCGCGUGUAUGAAGAAGGCCUUCGGGUUGUAAAGUACUUUCAGCGGGGAGGCGUUACCCGCAGAAUAAGCACCGGCUAACUACGUGCCAGCCGCCGCGGUAAUAC